AUUGAACGCUGGCGGCAGGCCUAACACAUGCAAGUCGAGCGGAUGAAGGGAGCUUGCUCCUGGAUUCAGCGGCGGACGGGUGAGUAAUGCCUAGGAAUCUGCCUGGUAGUGGGGGAUAACGUCCGGAAACGGGCGCUAAUACCGCAUACGUCCUGAGGGAGAAAGUGGGGGAUCUUCGGACCUCACGCUAUCAGAUGAGUCUAGGUCGGAUUAGCUAGUUGGUGGGGUAAAGGCCUACCAAGGCGACGAUCCGUAACUGGCCUGAGAGGAUGAUCAGUCACACUGGAACUGAGACACGGUCCAGACUCCUACGGGAGGCAGCAGUGGGGAAUAUUGGACAAUGGGCGAAAGCCUGAUCCAGCCAUGCCGCGUGUGUGAAGAAGGUCUUCGGAUUGUAAAGCACUUUAAGUUGGGAGGAAGGGCAGUAAGUUAAUACCUUGCUGUUUUGACGUUACCAACAGAAUAAGCACCGGCUAACUUCGUG
RNAcentral lists this ribosomal RNA (484 nucleotides) under uncultured bacterium. Its description in RNAcentral is "partial 16S ribosomal RNA". It matches the Rfam family "Bacterial small subunit ribosomal RNA", at positions 30 to 507 of the family's 1533-position model. The record is from RNAcentral.